Tupaia belangeri chinensis (Chinese tree shrew) is the source of this 351-nucleotide non-coding RNA. The record is from the annotation of a RefSeq genome assembly. NCBI's taxonomy places the organism in Eukaryota, Metazoa, Chordata, Mammalia, Scandentia, Tupaiidae.
GUUCCCUCUCCCAGCCGGUGCUGACUCAGCUGCCCUCCCUUUCUGCAUCUCCUGGAGCAUCUGCCAGACUCACCUGCACCCUGAGCAGUGGUUUUAGUGUUUGUAGUUACAGGAUAGAUUCGUACCAGGAGAAUCCAGAGAGCCCUCCCCGCUAUCUCCUGAGCUACCACACAGACUCAGACCAACACCAGGGCUCCGGGGUCCCCAGCCGCUUCUCUGGAUCCAAGGACACCUCAGCCAAUGCUGGAGUUCUGCACAUCUCCGGGCUGCAGCCUGAGGACGACACCGACUAUCACUGUGCGACUUAUCACGGCAGCUCUAGUACUCACACAGGGCUCCAGACCACGGGGA